Molecule: ribosomal RNA, 246 nt
Filed under: uncultured Leptotrichia sp.
Lineage: Bacteria; Fusobacteriati; Fusobacteriota; Fusobacteriia; Fusobacteriales; Leptotrichiaceae
Description: partial 16S ribosomal RNA
Rfam family: Bacterial small subunit ribosomal RNA
Source: RNAcentral
AGUAACGCGUAAAGAACUUGCCCUUUAGACUGGGAUAACAGAGGGAAACUUCUGAUAAUACUGGAUAAGUUAGUAUAUCGCAUGAUAUGCAAAUGAAAGCUACGGCACUAAAGGAGAGCUUUGCGUCCUAUUAGCUAGUUGGUAAGGUAAGAGCUUACCAAGGCGAUGAUAGGUAGCCGGCCUGAGAGGGUGGACGGCCACAAGGGGACUGAGAUACGGCCCUUACUCCUACGGGAGGCAGCAGCG